UACGAAGGUCCCAAGCGUUAUCCGGAUUUAUUGGGUUUAAAGGGUGCGUAGGCGGGUUAUUAAGUCAGUGGUGAAAGCCUUCAGCUUAAUUGAAGAAUUGCCAUUGAUACUGAUGAUCUUGAGUAUGAUUGAGGUGGGCGGAAUGUGUCAUGUAGCGGUGAAAUGCUUAGAUAUGACACAGAACACCGAUUGCGAAGGCAGCUCACUAAGCCAUAACUGACGCUGAUGCACGAAAGCGUGGGGAGCAAACAGG
This 253-nucleotide ribosomal RNA is filed under the name uncultured bacterium. RNAcentral's name for it is "partial 16S ribosomal RNA". It matches the Rfam family "Bacterial small subunit ribosomal RNA", at positions 524 to 776 of the family's 1533-position model. The record is from RNAcentral.